UCCUAUAUACCUACAUACACCUCGACUCUCCCAUAUCUUCGUGACUUUCGCCGACCACCUUGGUCAUACCCCAACUGCUUAUACAGCUUGGUCCAUCAACUACACGGACGGUCUGGAGCUACACCCCACGGGUGCCCAGCUCUUGCUGGUCCUUUUCCGCACAGUUCCAACUGCUUUGCGGCUUGUUCGUCCCUCUUAACGGUUGCUAAAGUACUCGGGUAGCACACGCCUUAAUCCGCAUGCUUGACCCUCAUGUGUUGCUUCCUGCUAAGCACGCUCGAGUCCACUCGGCAACACCCCAGCAGGAUCAAGUGCUUAAACGUAACAGGCUAACUACUCGGGAAAAUUACCUGACAUACAAGAGCAGUAUGCACAAGAGUUUGCUUCUACAACGAAUCAAACUUCCGAGUUACUCAACCAUUAAAUAUUCUACAUUAUGCUAUAUAAUGUUUGCAUUGUCUUUUUACAGCUCAGAACCUACUCAGCGUGCCUCCUGCCGCUUGGCCGACCUCUUUGGAUCAGGGUGGGAGGCAACUUGAUGCGCUUCCGCGACUCGGCCGGCUCCCAAGCUCGGGGGCUCAGGGCGGGAGGCAACUCAGCAUGCUUCCGCGAUUCAGCUGACCUCCUAGGCUCGGGGAUCGGGUGCAGGAGGUGACUCGGCGUGCUUCCGUGAUUCGGUUAGCUCCCAGGCUCGGGGGCUGGGCACCACAGACGGUUCACCGAGCCUCCUGCUGCUUAGCCGACCUCUCUAGAUUGGGGUAGGAGGCAACUCGGUGUACUUCCGUGACUCGGCCAGCUCCUAGGCUCGGAGGCUGGAUGCCAUAGACAACUCGGCGUGCCUUCUGCCACCAGACCGACCUCCCAGACUCAAAGGCUGGGUGUGGGAGGUGACUCGGCGUGCCUCCGUGGCUUCGCCAGUCCUCGCGCUCGGGGGCUGGGCGCCUACUUCGGGUCGGCGUGCCUUCAUGGCUCCGCUAGUCCUCACGCUCGAAGGCUGGGCGUAGGAUAUCACUUGAUGUGCGUCCAUGGCGUUUCACAAGACAAAGACUACAAGAUCAAGGAUUUUUCUUUGCGCAUUGCGCAACUACGAUGAAAGCACUCAGGCAAAGCUUAUCCAACUCGGCAUUCAUGUUGGGUGCCGUUCAACUCCACACCGCUCGGGGGCUUGACGGUUAUAGAUACCAGGAUACCCUCAUGGAGGGCCUAGCCGACUACUAAUGGGCCGGCCCGACUUGAUGAAGAAGGCAUAAGAUAGAGUCCGGCUAGAGCUCCCUACGUGUUGUAGUCCGACUAGAUCUCAUCUAUAGUAACCGAUUAGGGGUCCUGCCAUGUAACCCUACCCCCUCGGAGUAUAUAAGGGGAGGUAGGGGUACCCCUAGGAGGGGGACCGAUCCAAUCCCUCAACACAACCACCAACACCAGAGCGCAGGGCGCAAUACAAUCCUCCAAACAGGACGUAAGGUAUUACGCUAUACUAGCAGCCGGAACCUGUAUAAAUCUCUGUGUUUUGUGCCUUGCGUUACCAUCAAGUUCAUGGUCUUGCGAUCCUCCCUGCCUACAAAUCAACCAUCUGGGUACCUCUUAGGUGGACUGUCGGUCAUUAAAUCUGACAAUGACCUUGGCAUUACUGGGGAGACUAUAUCACAAUUUCAAUAAUUUCCAGACUAGGUAGAAUUUAUAGAUGAUGUUUGGUAGAGUCUAGGUAGUACAUGGAUAUCCG
This 1720-nucleotide long non-coding RNA is filed under the name Setaria italica (foxtail millet). RNAcentral's name for it is "long non-coding RNA (SITA_LNC000100)". The record is from RNAcentral. Lineage: Eukaryota; Viridiplantae; Streptophyta; Magnoliopsida; Poales; Poaceae.